RNAcentral lists this transfer RNA (85 nucleotides) under Allium sativum (garlic). RNAcentral's name for it is "tRNA-Tyr". It matches the Rfam family "tRNA". Rfam says of the family: Transfer RNA (tRNA) molecules are approximately 80 nucleotides in length. The record is from RNAcentral. RNAcentral also lists the same sequence under 4 other names. Lineage: Eukaryota; Viridiplantae; Streptophyta; Magnoliopsida; Asparagales; Amaryllidaceae.
UGGGUCGAUGCCCGAGCGGUUAAUGGGGACGGACUGUAAAUUCGUUGACGACUGUCUACGCUGGUUCAAAUCCAGCUCGGCCCAA